Molecule: ribosomal RNA, 378 nt
Filed under: uncultured bacterium
Lineage: Bacteria
Description: bacterial SSU rRNA
Rfam family: Bacterial small subunit ribosomal RNA
Source: RNAcentral
GACGAACGCUGGCGGCGUGCUUAACACAUGCAAGUCGAGCGGUAAGGCCCUUUCGGGGGUACACGAGCGGCGAACGGGUGAGUAACACGUGGGUGACCUGCCCUUAGCCCUGGGAUAAGCCUGGGAAACUGGGUCUAAUACCGGAUAUGACUCCAUGACGCAUGUUGUGGGGUGGAAAGCCUUGUGCGGCUAGGGAUGGGCCCGCGGCCUAUCAGCUUGUUGGUGGGGUGAUGGCCUACCAAGGCGACGACGGGUAGCCGGCCUGAGAGGGCGACCGGCCACACUGGGACUGAGACACGGCCCAGACUCCUACGGGAGGCAGCAGUGGGGAAUCUUGCGCAAUGGGCGAAAGCCUGACGCAGCGACGCCGCGUGGGGA